Molecule: transfer RNA, 77 nt
Filed under: Oceanospirillum multiglobuliferum
Lineage: Bacteria; Pseudomonadati; Pseudomonadota; Gammaproteobacteria; Oceanospirillales; Oceanospirillaceae
Description: tRNA_Met_CAT
Rfam family: tRNA
About the family: Transfer RNA (tRNA) molecules are approximately 80 nucleotides in length. Their secondary structure includes four short double-helical elements and three loops (D, anti-codon, and T loops). Further hydrogen bonds mediate the characteristic L-shaped molecular structure. tRNAs have two regions of fundamental functional importance: the anti-codon, which is responsible for specific mRNA codon recognition, and the 3' end, to which the tRNAs corresponding amino acid is attached (by aminoacyl-tRNA synthetases). tRNAs cope with the degeneracy of the genetic code in two manners: having more than one tRNA (with a specific anti-codon) for a particular amino acid; and 'wobble' base-pairing, i.e. permitting non-standard base-pairing at the 3rd anti-codon position.
Source: RNAcentral
UGCGGGAUGGAGCAGUCUGGUAGCUCGUCGGGCUCAUAACCCGAAGGUCGUCGGUUCAAAUCCGGCUCCCGCUUCCA